AUUGAACGCUGGCGGAAUGCUUUACACGUGCAAGUCGAACGGUAGAGGGGGCAACCCCUCGAGAGUGGCGAACGGGUGAGUAAUAUAUCGGAACGUGCCCAGUCGUGGGGGAUAACGUAGCGAAAGUUACGCUAAUACCGCAUACGAUCUAAGGAUGAAAGCGGGGGAUCGCAAGACCUCGCGCGAUUGGAGCGGCCGAUAUCAGAUUAGGUAGUUGGUGGGGUAAAGGCUCACCAAGCCAACGAUCUGUAGUUGGUCUGAGAGGACGACCAGCCACACUGGAACUGAGACACGGUCCAGACUCCUACGGGAGGCAGCAGUGGGGAAUUUUGGACAAUGGACGCAAGUCUGAUCCAGCCAUUCCGCGUGCAGGAUGAAGGCCCUCGGGUUGUAAACUGCUUUUGUACGGAACGAAAAGGUCUCUCUUAAUACGGGGGACUCAUGACGGUACCGUAAGAAUAAGCACCGGCUAACUACGUGCCAGCCGCCGCCGUAA
RNAcentral lists this ribosomal RNA (496 nucleotides) under uncultured bacterium. RNAcentral's name for it is "partial 16S ribosomal RNA". It matches the Rfam family "Bacterial small subunit ribosomal RNA", at positions 30 to 523 of the family's 1533-position model. The record is from RNAcentral.